CUAAAAUUUGGGAGCCAUUGAAAUACUCUCUAAAGUGAUGAUGUAUGAAGCAGUGGUUCUCAACGUAUGAUCCUGGGGCCAGCAGCAUCAGGAUCACCUGGAAACUUUCAGAAAUGUAAAUUCUUGGCCCUCCCACUCCCAGGCCUGAAUAAGAAUCUCCAGAACAAUGGCCCAGCUAUCGGUGUAUUAACAAGUUUUGCAGGUGUUUCUCAUGCUGCUAAAGUUUCAAAAUCACUGGUUUAAACAACCCCCUUAAUUCAAUAAACAUGUGUUGACACUCUGUGAACAUUCGGUUCUAGGAACUUUGGAGAGCCUGAAGAAGUCACAGUUCUCAAAGAUUGGUCAGUGAUACUUCAUUUGCAGUCCUGAUUUUGGUUCUGGAGUGAUCAAGAGAAUGUCAAGUUUCCGCAGGUUUUCUCAUAUGGAACAGUUUUUUAUUCAACACUCUACUGUAAUAUAAUGCAGAAAGGAGUCACUGGCAAAAUUCCUUUGAUGUGCAUUGUAUACAGCUCAUCUUUGGAUACCACUCCAAGCACUAUCCAUAACAAUCUUAUAAAAUUCCAAAAUGAUCCUCCCUGUACCGAUUCUCAUUCUGCCUGGAACUUAGCCAACACUUAUCUAUUUGGAUUGCCUCGGAUUCCAUAUUUUCAAGGCUCCUUGGUAGAGGCAUCUCAUCAGUCACUUCUACUUAGUAUGUCUCAUCCAUUAGUCCAUGAGAGUGCAAAUGUAGCUAUAUUCUAGGUUCUUGCAUCGCAAUCCUGAUAACUCUGUUGCUAUAGCUUCCUUAAAAUUUCAUUUUUAAACCACUCACUACAGAUUUCCUCACCUUUUGGUGCCACUUCCUGAGAGGACAUUGGGUUGGGUAGUGCCCAUUGCUUCAUAUGUUUUUUUAAAAAGUGUUCCUUUUAAACAAAGGCCAUGAUGCCCUUGCAUAGUCUCUUAUAAUAAGAUGUCUAUGUAUAAUUUUUAGAUGUGGAGUUGAUCUUACAAAUAAAAUGUGUUGUGCCUUCUUGAUGACUGGG
RNAcentral lists this long non-coding RNA (1022 nucleotides) under Cebus imitator (Panamanian white-faced capuchin). Its description in RNAcentral is "lncRNA (ENSCCAG00000038165.1)". The record is from RNAcentral. Lineage: Eukaryota; Metazoa; Chordata; Mammalia; Primates; Cebidae.